ACACCACCGCCUUUUACGUUACGUCAGCGGAAGUUUUUACGACUCACUGGUGAUAAUGAUGGUUUGAGCCUCCUGGCUGCUUGGCCAAUAAAGGGCAAGAAUAAAGCGAGUCCCGCCUCUUCCUCGGGCGACUGGGUCUUUCCGUCGACACGGGGCAACGUGAGGAAAUGCUACCGUUCAUACUCCAGAGCCCUUGCGGGAUCAGCCUGAGGGUAAGCUUCAGCUGAACCCACUGCCUAGCUCCUUCCCCUGCCCUGUUCUGUUUUCUGAACUGCCUUACAGAUUUCAGCUGACAUCACUCACCUUCUCGAAGAAUCCCAGGCACAAGAAUCCUCAUCUCCAACUUGGCUUCUUGAGAACGUGGCUUGAGACAGUAAAUAUACAAUGUUAAACAGUCAUGGAAAGAAGAAAGAACUGGAAAGCUCAAUAAUAAAAGCAAAAGCAACAACAAAA
Molecule: non-coding RNA, 453 nt
Organism: Vicugna pacos (alpaca)
Lineage: Eukaryota; Metazoa; Chordata; Mammalia; Artiodactyla; Camelidae
Source: RefSeq, a predicted model, not a curated record